RNAcentral lists this ribosomal RNA (261 nucleotides) under uncultured bacterium. RNAcentral's name for it is "partial 16S ribosomal RNA". It matches the Rfam family "Bacterial small subunit ribosomal RNA", at positions 793 to 1055 of the family's 1533-position model. The record is from RNAcentral.
GUCCACGCCGUAACGAUGUCUACUAGUUGUUGGUGGAGUAAAUCCAUGAGUAACGCAGCUAACGCGUGAAGUAGACCGCCUGGGGAGUACGGUCGCAAGAUUAAACUCAAAUGAAUUGACGGGGCCCGCACAAGCGGUGGAUUAUGUGGAUUAAUUCGAUGCAACGCGAAAACCUUACCUGGCCUUGACAUGUAACGAACUUUCCAGAGAUGGAUUGGUGCUCGAAAGAGAACGUUAACACAGGUGCUGCAUGGCUGUCGU